CUUACAAGGAUUUCCUUAGUAACGGCGAGUGAAAAGGGAACAGCCCAGCCUUAGAAUCGAAUGGUUUUGCCGUUUGAAUUGUAGUCUGGAGAAGUGUCCUUAGCGGCGGACUGGGCCCAAGUCCCCUGGAAAGGGGCGCCAGAGAGGGUGAUAGCCCCGUCGGGCCUAGACCCUGUCGCACCACGAGGUGCUGUCUUAGAGUCGGGUUGUUUGGGAAUGCAGCCCAAAUUUGGUGGUGAAUUCCGUCCAAGGCUAAAUACAGGCGAGAGCCCGAUAGUGAACAAGUACCGCGAGGGAAAGAUGAAAAGAACUUUGAAAAAAGAGCCAAAGAGUGCUUGAAAUUGUCGAGAGGGAAGCGGAUGGAGACUGGCGAUACGCCCAGGUUGGAUGUGGAACGGUGGCUAGCCGGUCCGCUGAUUGGCUCUGGGUGUGGAUCAGCAAGAAUUCAGGUGGCGGUUGAAGCUUGGGCAUUUGAUAUGCUAGGGGAAUGCUGUCUCUUGUAUUGUGGGAAGUGGUGCGCGCCCUGCGUGUGCUUCGGCACCUGCGUACUCAGGUCGUUGACUUGUGGGCUCUCCAUUCGACCCGUCUUGAAACACGGACCAAGGAGUCUGACAUGUGUGCGAGUUGGCGAGUGGGAAAACUUGCAAGGCGCAAGGAAGCUGAUUGGCGGGAUCCCUCUUUGGGGUGCACUGCCGACCGACCUUGAUCUUUUGAGAAGGGUUUGAGUGUGAGCAUACCUGUUGGGACCCGAAAGAUGGUGAACUAUGCCUGAGCGGGGUGAAGCCAGAGGAAACUCUGGUGGAAGCCCGCAGCGAUACUGACGUGCAAAUCGUUCGUCUGACUUGGGUAUAGG
Molecule: ribosomal RNA, 853 nt
Filed under: Cuscuta runyonii
Lineage: Eukaryota; Viridiplantae; Streptophyta; Magnoliopsida; Solanales; Convolvulaceae
Description: eukaryotic LSU rRNA
Rfam family: Eukaryotic large subunit ribosomal RNA
Source: RNAcentral